Molecule: long non-coding RNA, 557 nt
Filed under: Mustela putorius furo (domestic ferret)
Lineage: Eukaryota; Metazoa; Chordata; Mammalia; Carnivora; Mustelidae
Description: lncRNA (ENSMPUG00000028521.1)
Source: RNAcentral
GAAGGACAGAAGGAAGACAAAAGCAAGUUUCCACAGGGAGCAUUAGAGCAUUUUUCAUUAUUAAGUCAAUAGAGUCAGACGAUGAAAAUUCCUGCAUUGCUUUAUGACGACUAGGCUUUGUGCCCAAUGAGAAAUGAAUCUCCUUCCAUAGACCCUAAGACUAGUGACUCCACAGUCUCUUGAACAAGUUGAUAUCAGCCCUGUUUAUGUUGAAGCAAACAGCGGCCUUUGAAGCUUGUGGAAAAAGCUUGCAUCCUGGCCUACGCUGAGAAAAGCCACUGACCCCGAGAAGAAUGCGCUACUCCUAAAACGUGCCUUCUUCCCACUGCAGGCAAUAAUGAUCUCAUGAUAGCCAGCCUCCUGAUUCCUGGACCAGAGCAUCAGGUUCAGUGUUUGUCACAGAAUGUGUUAUGUAACUGUGGGUCCUCAUUCACCCUAUCAACUGGCGGUGUGUUUCUCCAAGUCUAUCACAAAAAGCCUUGAGGAUUAAUGAGAACCUGUUCUCCAGCUUCAUGCUCCUCAGAAAAGAUGACCUUGAAAUAGAAGACUCGUUGCCU